Molecule: ribosomal RNA, 354 nt
Filed under: Triticum aestivum (bread wheat)
Lineage: Eukaryota; Viridiplantae; Streptophyta; Magnoliopsida; Poales; Poaceae
Description: partial small subunit ribosomal RNA
Source: RNAcentral
AUGAAGCUUCACUAUCAUCCCGGCCAAGCCAAUGUCGUAGCGGACGCUUUGAGCCAAAAGAGUUAUGUUAACACCCUCGUGAGCGGAGGAAUACCAAAGGAGUUAGCAGAGGAUCUCAGGGAACUACGUCUGGAGAUUGUUCCUAGAGGUUUUGUUGCAGCAAUGGAAGUUCAUUCUACAUUGUUGGGAAAAAUUCGAGAAGCUCAGAAGGAUGAAAAGGAGAUUGUCGAGAUAAAGGAGAAGAUGAGUGAAGGGAAAGCCAAAGGUUUUCGUGAGGAUGAGCAUGACACCUUAUGGUUUGAGGAUCGGAUAUAUGUGCCCAAUAAUAUGGAGAUCAGGAAGUUGAUACUAUAG